Molecule: ribosomal RNA, 440 nt
Filed under: uncultured bacterium
Lineage: Bacteria
Description: partial 16S ribosomal RNA
Rfam family: Bacterial small subunit ribosomal RNA
Source: RNAcentral
CCUACGGGAGGCAGCAGUGGGGAAUAUUGCACAAUGGGGGAAACCCUGAUGCAGCGACGCCGCGUGAGCGAUGAAGUAUCUCGGUAUGUAAAGCUCUAUCAGCAGGGAAGAAAAUGACGGUACCUGACUAAGAAGCCCCGGCGAACUACGUGCCAGCAGCCGCGGCAAUACGUAGGGGGCAAGCGUUAUCCGGAUUUACUGGGUGUAAGGGGAGCGUAGACGGUUCUGCAAGCCAGAUGUGAAAGCCCGGGGCUCAACCGCGGGACUGCAUUUGGAACUGUAAGGUUUGAGUGUCGGAGAGGCAGGCGGAAUUCGUAGUGGAGCGGUGAAAUGCGUAGAUAUUAGGAGGAACGCCGAUGGCGAAGGCAGCCUGCUGGACGGUGACUGACGUUGAGGCUCGAAAGCGUGGGGAGCAAACAGGAUUAGAUACCCUUGUAGUC